Molecule: unclassified non-coding RNA, 286 nt
Filed under: Hevea brasiliensis (rubber tree)
Lineage: Eukaryota; Viridiplantae; Streptophyta; Magnoliopsida; Malpighiales; Euphorbiaceae
Source: RNAcentral
AGCAAAAGACAUGUUAAGGAAGUUUUGAUUUUCAACUUAUUGUUUUGAUCAUCUUAAAUACCAAUUUAAACAAAGACCACUCAUUUGGUGCGCUGCUGCCCUACCCACACUACCACAGAAAUACACACACCAGAAAUAAAAAGAAAGGAGAAGAAUAUGAGAGGGGAGGUACUCUGAAAUGAGAUGGAUACUAUAGUGAUUAAAUAUGAUAAAUGAGCUUGAAAUAAGGUAUAUAUUGUUAGUAAAAGAGGGCCCCUAAGGAACAUAGCCUAUUCUCGUACACAAA